GACGGAGGAGGCAAGCGUUAUCCGGAAUUAUUGGGCGUAAAGCGUCCGUAGGUGGUCAAUGAAGUCUUUUGUUAAAGGUUGGAGCUUAACUCUGAUAGAGCGGAAGAAACUGAUUGACUUGAGAGUGGUAGGGGUAGAGGGAAUUCCAGGUGUAGCGGUGAAAUGCGUAGAUAUCUGGAAGAACACCAGUGGCGAAGGCGCUCUACUGGGCCAUUACUGACACUGAGGGACGAAAGCUAGGGGAGCGAAAGGG
This 253-nucleotide ribosomal RNA is filed under the name uncultured bacterium. Its description in RNAcentral is "partial 16S ribosomal RNA". It matches the Rfam family "Bacterial small subunit ribosomal RNA", at positions 524 to 776 of the family's 1533-position model. The record is from RNAcentral.